AUUGAACGCUGGCGGCAGGCCUAACACAUGCAAGUCGAGCGAGCGGCGGACGGGUGAGUAAUGUAUGGGGACUGCCCGAUAGAGGGGGAUAACUACUGGAAACGGUGGCUAAUACCGCAUACUAUCGGAUAACCCAUAUGGGAUUAGCUAGUAGGUGGGGUAAAGGCCUACCAAGGCGACGAUCCGUAACUGGUCUGAGAGGAUGAUCAGUCACACUGGAACUGAGACACGGUCCAGACUCCUACGGAGGCAGCAGUGGGGAAUAUUGCACAAUGGGCGCAAGCCUGAUGCAGCCAUGCCGCGUGUAUGAAGAAGGCCUUAGGGUUGUAAAGUACUUUCAGCGGGGAGGCGUUACCAACAGAAUAAGCACCGGCUAACUUCGUGCCAGCAGCCGCGGUAAUAC
Molecule: ribosomal RNA, 403 nt
Filed under: uncultured bacterium
Lineage: Bacteria
Description: partial 16S ribosomal RNA
Rfam family: Bacterial small subunit ribosomal RNA
Source: RNAcentral